RNAcentral lists this ribosomal RNA (704 nucleotides) under uncultured bacterium. Its description in RNAcentral is "bacterial SSU rRNA". It matches the Rfam family "Bacterial small subunit ribosomal RNA", at positions 127 to 851 of the family's 1533-position model. The record is from RNAcentral.
UGCCCUGUACACACGGAUAACAUACCGAAAGGUAUGCUAAUACGGGAUAACAUAAGAAAUUCGCAUGUUUUUCUUAUCAAAGCUCCGGCGGUACAGGAUGGACCCGCGUCUGAUUAGCUAGUUGGUGAGGUAACGGCUCACCAAGGCGACGAUCAGUAGCCGACCUGAGAGGGUGAUCGGCCACAUUGGAACUGAGACACGGUCCAAACUCCUACGGGAGGCAGCAGUGGGGAAUAUUGCACAAUGGGCGAAAGCCCGAUGCAGCAACGCCGCGUAAGCGAUGAAGGCCUUCGGGUCGUAAAGCUCUGUCCUCAAGGAAGAUAAUGACGGUACUUGAGGAGGAAGCCCCGGCUAACUACGUGCCAGCAGCCGCGGUAAUACGUAGGGGGCUAGCGUUAUCCGGAUUUACUGGGCGUAAAGGGUGCGUAGGCGGUCUUUUAAGUCAGGAGUGAAAGGCUACGGCUCAACCGUAGUAAGCUCUUGAAACUGGAGGACUUGAGUGCAGGAGAGGAGAGUGGAAUUCCUAGUGUAGCGGUGAAAUGCGUAGAUAUUAGGAGGAACACCAGUAGCGAAGGCGGCUCUCUGGACUGUAACUGACGCUGAGGCACGAAAGCGUGGGGAGCAAACAGGAUUAGAUACCCUGGUAGUCCACGCCGUAAACGAUGAGUACUAGCUGUCGGAGGUUACCCCCUUCGGUGGCGCAG